Molecule: ribosomal RNA, 253 nt
Filed under: uncultured bacterium
Lineage: Bacteria
Description: partial 16S ribosomal RNA
Rfam family: Bacterial small subunit ribosomal RNA
Source: RNAcentral
GACGAACCGUGCGAACGUUAUUCGGAUUCACUGGGCUUAAAGGGCGCGUAGGCGGCAGUACGAGUCGGGGGUGAAAUCUUUCGGCCCAACCGGAAAACAGCUUCCGAUACCGUACUGCUUGAGGGGGAUAGGGGCACACGGAACUUCCGGUGGAGCGGUGAAAUGCGUAGAUAUCGGAAGGAACGCCGGUGGCGAAAGCGGUGUGCUGGGUCCCUUCUGACGCUGAGGCGCGAAAGCCAGGGGAGCGAACGGG